Molecule: ribosomal RNA, 497 nt
Filed under: uncultured bacterium
Lineage: Bacteria
Description: partial 16S ribosomal RNA
Rfam family: Bacterial small subunit ribosomal RNA
Source: RNAcentral
GAUGAACGCUGGCGGCGUGCCUAAUACAUGCAAGUCGAGCGAACGGACGAGAAGCUUGCUUCUCUGAUGUUAGCGGCGGACGGGCGAGUAACACGUGGAUAACCUACCUAUAAGACUGGGAUAACUUCGGGAAACCGGAGCUAAUACCGGAUGAUAUUUUGAACCGCAUGGUUCAAAAGUGAAAGACGGUCUUGCUGUCACUUAUAGAUGGAUCCGCGCUGCAUUAGCUAGUUGGUAAGGUAACGGCUUACCAAGGCAACGAUGCAUAGCCGACCUGAGAGGGUGAUCGGCCACACUGGAACUGAGACACGGUCCAGACUCCUACGGGAGGCAGCAGUAGGGAAUCUUCCGCAAUGGGCGAAAGCCUGACGGAGCAACGCCGCGUGAGUGAUGAAGGUCUUCGGAUCGUAAAACUCUGUUAUUAGGGAAGAACAUAUGUGUAAGUAACUGUGCACAUCUUGACGGUACCUAAUCAGAAAGCCACGGCUAACUACGUG